Molecule: unclassified non-coding RNA, 151 nt
Filed under: uncultured Derxomyces
Lineage: Eukaryota; Fungi; Basidiomycota; Tremellomycetes; Tremellales
Description: sequence contains ITS2
Source: RNAcentral
UAGACCUUCACCCGAUCAUUUUUCAUUAAGUGAUUGUUUUUGGUGCUUUGGACGUUCUGCCAUUAACCCUGGCUCGUCUUAAAUGUCUUAGUGGAACGAUGGCAUGAUAAGUCAUUUGCCUGACCCUUCCACUCUAAAUCUAUAUUUUAAG